GGGCCCGCACAAGCGGAGGAACAUGUGGUUUAAUUCGAUGAUACGCGAGGAACCUUACCCGGGCUUGAAUUGCAGAGGAAUGUCGUGGAAACAUGGCAGCUAGUAAUAGUCUCUGUGAAGGUGCUGCAUGGUUGUCGUCAGCUCGUGCCGUGAGGUGUCGGCUUAAGUGCCAUAACGAGCGCAACCCUCAUAUUCAGUUACUAACAGGUUAAGCUGAGGACUCUGGAUAGACUGCCGUCGUAAGAUGUGAGGAAGGUGGGGAUGACGUCAAAUCAGCACGGCCCUUACGUCCGGGGCGACACACGUGUUACAAUGGGGGGUACAGAAGGUUGCUACACAGCGAUGUGAUGCUAAUCCCAAAAGCCUCUCUCAGUUCGGAUCGAAGUCUGCAACCCGACUUCGUGAAGCUGGAUUCGCUAGUAAUCGCGCAUCAGCCAUGGCGCGGUGAAUACGUUCCCGGGCCUU
Molecule: ribosomal RNA, 465 nt
Filed under: uncultured bacterium
Lineage: Bacteria
Description: bacterial SSU rRNA
Rfam family: Bacterial small subunit ribosomal RNA
Source: RNAcentral